RNAcentral lists this ribosomal RNA (2275 nucleotides) under Salmonella enterica subsp. enterica serovar Give. Its description in RNAcentral is "partial 23S ribosomal RNA". It matches the Rfam family "Bacterial large subunit ribosomal RNA", at positions 675 to 2925 of the family's 2925-position model. The record is from RNAcentral. Lineage: Bacteria; Pseudomonadati; Pseudomonadota; Gammaproteobacteria; Enterobacterales; Enterobacteriaceae.
AACCGAGUCUUAAUUGGGCGUUAAGUUGCAGGGUAUAGACCCGAAACCCGGUGAUCUAGCCAUGGGCAGGUUGAAGGUUGGGUAACACUAACUGGAGGACCGAACCGACUAAUGUUGAAAAAUUAGCGGAUGACCUGUGGCUGGGGGUGAAAGGCCAAUCAAACCGGGAGAUAGCUGGUUCUCCCCGAAAGCUAUUUAGGUAGCGCCUCGUGAAUUCAUCUCCGGGGGUAGAGCACUGUUUCGGCUAGGGGGCCAUCCCGGCUUACCAACCCGAUGCAAACUGCGAAUACCGGAGAAUGUUAUCACGGGAGACACACGGCGGGUGCUAACGUCCGUCGUGAAGAGGGAAACAACCCAGACCGCCAGCUAAGGUCCCAAAGUCAUGGUUAAGUGGGAAACGAUGUGGGAAGGCCCAGACAGCCAGGAUGUUGGCUUAGAAGCAGCCAUCAUUUAAAGAAAGCGUAAUAGCUCACUGGUCGAGUCGGCCUGCGCGGAAGAUGUAACGGGGCUAAACCAUGCACCGAAGCUGCGGCAGCGACACUAUGUGUUGUUGGGUAGGGGAGCGUUCUGUAAGCCUGUGAAGGUGGCCUGUGAGGGUUGCUGGAGGUAUCAGAAGUGCGAAUGCUGACAUAAGUAACGAUAAAGCGGGUGAAAAGCCCGCUCGCCGGAAGACCAAGGGUUCCUGUCCAACGUUAAUCGGGGCAGGGUGAGUCGACCCCUAAGGCGAGGCCGAAAGGCGUAGUCGAUGGGAAACGGGUUAAUAUUCCCGUACUUGGUGUUACUGCGAAGGGGGGACGGAGAAGGCUAUGUUGGCCGGGCGACGGUUGUCCCGGUUUAAGCGUGUAGGCUGGUUUUCCAGGCAAAUCCGGAAAAUCAAGGCUGAGGCGUGACGACGAGGCACUACGGUGCUGAAGCAACAAAUGCCCUGCUUCCAGGAAAAGCCUCUAAGCAUCAGGUAACAUCAAAUCGUACCCCAAACCGACACAGGUGGUCAGGUAGAGAAUACCAAGGCGCUUGAGAGAACUCGGGUGAAGGAACUAGGCAAAAUGGUGCCGUAACUUCGGGAGAAGGCACGCUGACACGUAGGUGAAGUGAUUUACUCAUGGAGCUGAAGUCAGUCGAAGAUACCAGCUGGCUGCAACUGUUUAUUAAAAACACAGCACUGUGCAAACACGAAAGUGGACGUAUACGGUGUGACGCCUGCCCGGUGCCGGAAGGUUAAUUGAUGGGGUCAGCGCAAGCGAAGCUCCUGAUCGAAGCCCCGGUAAACGGCGGCCGUAACUAUAACGGUCCUAAGGUAGCGAAAUUCCUUGUCGGGUAAGUUCCGACCUGCACGAAUGGCGUAAUGAUGGCCAGGCUGUCUCCACCCGAGACUCAGUGAAAUUGAACUCGCUGUGAAGAUGCAGUGUACCCGCGGCAAGACGGAAAGACCCCGUGAACCUUUACUAUAGCUUGACACUGAACAUUGAGCCUUGAUGUGUAGGAUAGGUGGGAGGCUUUGAAGUGUGGACGCCAGUCUGCAUGGAGCCGACCUUGAAAUACCACCCUUUAAUGUUUGAUGUUCUAACGUGGACCCGUGAUCCGGGUUGCGGACAGUGUCUGGUGGGUAGUUUGACUGGGGCGGUCUCCUCCUAAAGAGUAACGGAGGAGCACGAAGGUUGGCUAAUCCUGGUCGGACAUCAGGAGGUUAGUGCAAUGGCAUAAGCCAGCUUGACUGCGAGCGUGACGGCGCGAGCAGGUGCGAAAGCAGGUCAUAGUGAUCCGGUGGUUCUGAAUGGAAGGGCCAUCGCUCAACGGAUAAAAGGUACUCCGGGGAUAACAGGCUGAUACCGCCCAAGAGUUCAUAUCGACGGCGGUGUUUGGCACCUCGAUGUCGGCUCAUCACAUCCUGGGGCUGAAGUAGGUCCCAAGGGUAUGGCUGUUCGCCAUUUAAAGUGGUACGCGAGCUGGGUUUAGAACGUCGUGAGACAGUUCGGUCCCUAUCUGCCGUGGGCGCUGGAGAACUGAGGGGGGCUGCUCCUAGUACGAGAGGACCGGAGUGGACGCAUCACUGGUGUUCGGGUUGUCAUGCCAAUGGCACUGCCCGGUAGCUAAAUGCGGAAGAGAUAAGUGCUGAAAGCAUCUAAGCACGAAACUUGCCCCGAGAUGAGUUCUCCCUGAGACUUAAAGUCUCCUGAAGGAACGUUGAAGACGACGACGUUGAUAGGCCGGGUGUGUAAGCGCAGCGAUGCGUUGAGCUAACCGGUACUAAUGAACCGUGAGGCUUAACCUUACA